This 253-nucleotide ribosomal RNA is filed under the name uncultured bacterium. Its description in RNAcentral is "partial 16S ribosomal RNA". It matches the Rfam family "Bacterial small subunit ribosomal RNA", at positions 524 to 776 of the family's 1533-position model. The record is from RNAcentral.
UACGUAGGGGGCGAGCGUUGUCCGGAAUUAUUGGGCGUAAAGAGCGUGUAGGCGGUUCGGUAAGUCUGCCGUGAAAACCUGGGGCUCAACCCCAGGCGUGCGGUGGAUACUGCCGGGCUAGAGGGUGGUAGAGGCGAGUGGAAUUCCCGGUGUAGCGGUGAAAUGCGCAGAUAUCGGGAGGAACACCUAUGGCGAAGGCAGCUCGCUGGGACGUUACUGACGCUGAGACGCGAAAGCGUGGGGAGCAAACAGG